Molecule: ribosomal RNA, 473 nt
Filed under: uncultured bacterium
Lineage: Bacteria
Description: bacterial SSU rRNA
Rfam family: Bacterial small subunit ribosomal RNA
Source: RNAcentral
UCAGUCGACUCCUACGGGGAGCAGCAGUGGGGAAUUUUGGACAAUGGGGGCAACCCUGAUCCAGCCAUGCCGCGUGAGUGAAGAAGGCCUUCGGGUUGUAAAGCUCUUUCGGCCGGGAAGAAAUCGCGCAGGCUAAUACCCUGUGUGGAUGACGGUACCGGAAUAAGAAGCACCGGCUAACUACGUGCCAGCAGCCGCGGUAAUACGUAGGGUGCGAGCGUUAAUCGGAAUUACUGGGCGUAAAGCGUGCGCAGGCGGUUUCGUAAGACAGAGGUGAAAUCCCCGGGCUCAACCUGGGAACUGCCUUUGUGACUGCGAGGCUAGAGUACGGCAGAGGGGGGUGGAAUUCCACGUGUAGCAGUGAAAUGCGUAGAGAUGUGGAGGAACACCGAUGGCGAAGGCAGCCCCCUGGGCCGAUACUGACGCUCAUGCACGAAAGCGUGGGUAGCAAACAGGAUUAGAUACCCUGGUAG